Long non-coding RNA from Cyprinus carpio carpio, 1112 nucleotides. The record is from Ensembl. NCBI's taxonomy places the organism in Eukaryota, Metazoa, Chordata, Actinopteri, Cypriniformes, Cyprinidae.
AUCAGUCUCUGCCCGGCCCUAAUGGCCGCAGGUUCCAAUGUGUGUGCCAAUUUUCAAGAGUUUUCGAGUAUGUUAAGGGCCCCAAAAGCCCCCGAGACGUUGGAAAAAAAUAAUAAUAAUAAUAAUAAUAAUAAUAAUAAUAAUAAUAAUAAUAAUAAUAAAAAAUAAUCCUAAGGAAAACAAUAGGGCUCUCGCCCUCCAGGCUUGAGCCCUAAAUAUAGCUGCAAGCAGCGAUGGCGGGCUCAAGCCAUCAGCGCAAACGCCACCCCGGUGGCAUCAGGUAAACUGUGCCCAGCGGGCACAUGCAUUUACAGUAACCCUCUGGCAGUCAGGUUUUAAGGGAUACGGCAAUUAACGGGUUAAUCCGAAGCAUCAAGACUUUGAAAUCCCAUACACAGAACAAUAUUCAUUAAGAAAGUGAAAUUAAAUGAUUAAUAAACUAUUUAUUCGAACCCUUGCUAUUUUCUAUUCUUAUAAAAGUCUGGGCUGUGGAACACCUGUAAUAGAGUUGGCUAGCUGGAUGCAAAUAAAGUCAUGCCUUUUAUUUGUUCCCCUGUUUGCUAUUUCACAUUCCUGUCACUGAAGCGUUGUGGCCAAAGACACAGAAGGUAACUGAAACUAUGUGGUUUAAGUCAAGGUGAUUAUUAGGGGUGCAAGCACAAUGGUUUGUGUAGAUGAUGCAGUUACACAAUGAACGUGUCUCUUUUCAAGUAAAUUAUGAGUCCUUAUGUGAGUACUAUUAUAUGCACAACAUGAAAAUAGAUAACUAAUAUAGUGUCCCUUCUACACUUUUUCAGUAAUGUGUGAUAACUUGAGAAAUAUGUUGUCAAUACAAUUAAACUAACAAAAAGUAAUGGUAUUUAGGAGCUGAUAGCUUUUGCAUAAUUACUAUAUUGGGCUUUAUUAAAGUUUAUGAAAAAAGAAUGAAUGUUUAUGCAUUUUUUAUUCAUGCACAUAAAUGAAACAUUUUCAAGUCUUUGAACAGAUCUUGAAGUAUUUGCUAUCCUGUGGCGCCAUCGAGUGGACAACAUUAGCAUUGUGGCCUUCAUUUUUGAACAACAUUAUGAAAGGGGCCAAUAUUUUUUGAAUGAUUAUAAAUAUUUAAUGAUUAG